CGCGAAUCGCCCUUCGGGGCGCACCAGGCGCGAAAACUUUACAAUGCUGGCAACAGCGAUAAGGGGACCUCGAGUGCCAGGUUACAAAUCUGGCUGUCGUGAUGCCUAAAAAGCAUUGCAUAGCAAGGGCCGGGCAAGACCGGUGCCAGCCGCCGCGGUAACACCGGCGGCUCGAGUGGUAACCGUUAUUAUUGGGUCUAAAGGGUCUGUAGCCGGCCGGAUAAGUCUCUUGGGAAAUCCAGCAGCUCAACUGUUGGGCUUUCAGGAGAUACUGUCUGGCUCGAGGCCGGGAGAGGUGAGAGGUACUUCAGGGGUAGGGGUGAAAUCUUGUAAUCCUUGAAGGACCACCAGUGGCGAAGGCGUCUCACCAGAACGGACCUGACGGCAAGGGACGAAAGCUAGGGGCACGAACCGGAUUAGAUACCCGGGUAGUCCUAGCCGUAAACGAUACUCGCUAGGUGUCGGCCACGGUGCGACCGUUGUCGGUGCCGUAGGGAAGCCGUGAAGCGAGCCACCUGGGAAGUACGGCCGCAAGGCUGAAACUUAAAGGAAUUGGCGGGGGAGCAC
Molecule: ribosomal RNA, 567 nt
Filed under: uncultured archaeon
Lineage: Archaea
Description: bacterial SSU rRNA
Rfam family: Archaeal small subunit ribosomal RNA
Source: RNAcentral